Molecule: ribosomal RNA, 440 nt
Filed under: uncultured bacterium
Lineage: Bacteria
Description: bacterial SSU rRNA
Rfam family: Bacterial small subunit ribosomal RNA
Source: RNAcentral
GAUGAACGCUGGCGGUAUGCCUAACACAUGCAAGUCGUACGAGAGUUUUUAACUCUAGUGGCGGACGGGUGAGUAACACGUAAGAAUUUGCCUUUAGGAGGGGGACAACAACUGGAAACGGUUGCUAAUACCCCAUAUGCUUUUGAGUGAAAUGGAUUUUAUCCGCCUAGAGAGAAGCUCGCGGCUGAUUAGCUUGUUGGUAAGGUAAGAGCUUACCAAGGCGACGAUCAGUAUCUGGUUUGAGAGGACGAUCAGACACACUGGAACUGAGACACGGUCCAGACUCCCACGGGAGGCAGCAGUGGGGAAUUUUCCGCAAUGGGCGAAAGCCUGACGGAGCAAUACCGCGUGAGGGAAGAAUGCCUAUGGGUUGUAAACCUCUUUUUCAGGGAGGAAUAAAAUGACGUGUACCUGAAGAAUAAGCAUCGGCUAACUCCGUG